Molecule: ribosomal RNA, 435 nt
Filed under: uncultured bacterium
Lineage: Bacteria
Description: partial 16S ribosomal RNA
Rfam family: Bacterial small subunit ribosomal RNA
Source: RNAcentral
AACGAACGCUGGCGGCAGGCUUAACACAUGCAAGUCGAACGCGUGCAGCAAUGCACGAGUGGCGCACGGGUGAGUAACGCGUGGAUAUCUGCCUUUUGGUUCGGAACAACCCCGGGAAACUGGGGCUAAUACCGGAUGGUUCCUACGGGAUAAAGAUUUAUCGCCAAAAGAUGAGUCCGCGUCCGAUUAGCUAGUUGGUGAGGUAAUGGCUCACCAAGGCGACGAUCGGUAGCUGGUCUGAGAGGACGAUCAGCCACACUGGGACUGAGACACGGCCCAGACUCCUACGGGAGGCAGCAGUGGGGAAUAUUGGACAGUGGGGGCAACCCUGAUCCAGCCAUGCCGCGUGAGUGAUGAAGGCCUUCGGGUUGUAAAGCUCUUUUGGCGGGGACGAUGAUGACGGUACCCGCAGAAUAAGCCCCGGCUAACUUCGUG